Molecule: ribosomal RNA, 253 nt
Filed under: uncultured bacterium
Lineage: Bacteria
Description: partial 16S ribosomal RNA
Rfam family: Bacterial small subunit ribosomal RNA
Source: RNAcentral
UACGAGGGGGGCAAGCGUUGUUCGGAAUUAUUGGGCGUAAAGAGCGUGUAGGCGGCCAGAUAGGUCAGCUGUGAAAACUCGAGGCUCAACCUCGAGACGUCGGUUGAAACCAUCUGGCUAGAGUCCGGAAGAGGAGAGUGGAAUUCCCGGUGUAGCGGUGAAAUGCGCAGAUAUCGGGAAGAACACCCGUGGCGAAGGCGGCUCUCUGGGACGGUACUGACGCUGAGACGCGAAAGCGUGGGGAGCGAACAGG